RNAcentral lists this ribosomal RNA (253 nucleotides) under uncultured bacterium. RNAcentral's name for it is "partial 16S ribosomal RNA". It matches the Rfam family "Bacterial small subunit ribosomal RNA", at positions 524 to 776 of the family's 1533-position model. The record is from RNAcentral.
UACAGAGGCCACAAGCGUUAGUCGGAAUCACUGGGCUUAAAGGGUGCGUAGGCGGGUCGGAAAGUGUUCUGUGAAAGCCCUCAGCUCAACUGAGGAACCGCAGGGCAUACUACCGAUCUUGAGGCAAGUAUGGGUGGGCAGAACAGUAGGUGGAGCGGUGAAAUGCGUAGAUAUCUACUGGAAUGCCGAUGGUGAAGACGGCCCACUGGGCUUGUCCUGACGCUGAGGCACGAAAGCGUGGGGAGCAAACAGG